UCCAGGGUAGCCGACUGGACAAGGCACCUGUCCGGUAAGCAAAAGGGUGUGGGUUCGAUUCCCGCCCCUGGAC
RNAcentral lists this transfer RNA (73 nucleotides) under Cordylochernes scorpioides. Its description in RNAcentral is "tRNA-Thr". It matches the Rfam family "tRNA". Rfam says of the family: Transfer RNA (tRNA) molecules are approximately 80 nucleotides in length. Their secondary structure includes four short double-helical elements and three loops (D, anti-codon, and T loops). Further hydrogen bonds mediate the characteristic L-shaped molecular structure. tRNAs have two regions of fundamental functional importance: the anti-codon, which is responsible for specific mRNA codon recognition, and the 3' end, to which the tRNAs corresponding amino acid is attached (by aminoacyl-tRNA synthetases). tRNAs cope with the degeneracy of the genetic code in two manners: having more than one tRNA (with a specific anti-codon) for a particular amino acid; and 'wobble' base-pairing, i.e. permitting non-standard base-pairing at the 3rd anti-codon position. Lineage: Eukaryota; Metazoa; Arthropoda; Arachnida; Pseudoscorpiones; Chernetidae. The record is from RNAcentral.